This 1905-nucleotide ribosomal RNA is filed under the name Salmonella enterica subsp. enterica serovar Typhi. Its description in RNAcentral is "partial 23S ribosomal RNA". It matches the Rfam family "Bacterial large subunit ribosomal RNA", at positions 1 to 1820 of the family's 2925-position model. Lineage: Bacteria; Pseudomonadati; Pseudomonadota; Gammaproteobacteria; Enterobacterales; Enterobacteriaceae. The record is from RNAcentral.
GGGUUGUGAGGUUAAGCGACUAAGCGUACACGGUGGAUGCCCUGGCAGUCAGAGGCGAUGAAGGGCGUGCUAAUCUGCGAUAAGCGCCGGUAAGGUGAUAUGAACCGUUAUAACCGGCGAUACCCGAAUGGGGAAACCCAGUGUGAUUCGUCACACUAUCAUUAACUGAAUCCAUAGGUUAAUGAGGCGAACCGGGGGAACUGAAACAUCUAAGUACCCCGAGGAAAAGAAAUCAACCGAGAUUCCCCCAGUAGCGGCGAGCGAACGGGGAGGAGCCCAGAGCCUGAAUCAGCAUGUGUGUUAGUGGAAGCGUCUGGAAAGGCGCGCGAUACAGGGUGACAGCCCCGUACACAAAAGCGCAUAUGCUGUGAGCUCGAUGAGUAGGGCGGGACACGUGGUAUCCUGUCUGAAUAUGGGGGGACCAUCCUCCAAGGCUAAAUACUCCUGACUGACCGAUAGUGAACCAGUACCGUGAGGGAAAGGCGAAAAGAACCCCGGCGAGGGGAGUGAAAAAGAACCUGAAACCGUGUACGUACAAGCAGUGGGAGCCCCACCACUAAGCCAGUGGUGAACUCCACAUACGCAUCCUUUGCUGAGGAGACGGUUAACGGAGCGAAAGCGACGUUCAACCUCAAAAGAAGCAGAGGGGGCUUAGUGGUGGGGUGACUGCGUACCUUUUGUAUAAUGGGUCAGCGACUUAUAUUCUGUAGCAAGGUUAACUGUAUAGGGGAGCCGGAGGGAAACCGAGUCUUAACCGGGCGUUAAGUUGCAGGGUAUAGACCCGAAACCCGGUGAUCUAGCCAUGGGCAGGUUGAAGGUUGGGUAACACUAACUGGAGGACCGAACCGACUAAUGUUGAAAAAUUAGCGGAUGACCUGUGGCUGGGGGUGAAAGGCCAAUCAAACCGGGAGAUAGCUGGUUCUCCCCGAAAGCUAUUUAGGUAGCGCCUCGUGAAUUCAUCUCCGGGGGUAGAGCACUGUUUCGGCUAGGGGGCCAUCCCGGCUUACCAACCCGAUGCAAACUGCGAAUACCGGAGAAUGUUAUCACGGGAGACACACGGCGGGUGCUAAUGUCCGUCGUGAAGAGGGAAACAACCCAGACCGCCAGCUAAGGUCCCAAAGUCAUGGUUAAGUGGGAAACGAUGUGGGAAGGCCCAGACAGCCAGGAUGUUGGCUUAGAAGCAGCCAUCAUUUAAAGAAAGCGUAAUAGCUCACUGGUCGAGUCGGCCUGCGCGGAAGAUGUAACGGGGCUAAACCAUGCACCGAAGCUGCGGCAGCGACACCGUGUGUUGUUGGGUAGGGGAGCGUUCUGUAAGCCUGUGAAGGUGUGCUGUGAGGCAUGCUGGAGGUAUCAGAAGUGCGAAUGCUGACAUAAGUAACGAUAAAGCGGGUGAAAAGCCCGCUCGCCGGAAGACCAAGGGUUCCUGUCCAACGUUAAUCGGGGCAGGGUGAGUCGACCCCUAAGGCGAGGCCGAAAGGCGUAGUCGAUGGGAAACGGGUUAAUAUUCCCGUACUUGGUGUUACUGCGAAGGGGGGACGGAGAAGGCUAUGUUGGCCGGGCGACGGUUGUCCCGGUUUAAGCGUGUAGGUAUGUGUUCCAGGUAAAUCCGGUUCACUUUAACACUGAGGCGUGACGACGAGGCACUACGGUGCUGAAGCAACAAAUGCCCUGCUUCCAGGAAAAGCCUCUAAGCAUCAGGUAACAUCAAAUCGUACCCCAAACCGACACAGGUGGUCAGGUAGAGAAUACCAAGGCGCUUGAGAGAACUCGGGUGAAGGAACUAGGCAAAAUGGUGCCGUAACUUCGGGAGAAGGCACGCUGACACGUAGGUGAAGUGAUUUACUCACGGAGCUGAAGUCAGCCGAAGAUACCAGCUGGCUGCAACUGUUUAUUAAAAACACAGCA